Gymnodraco acuticeps is the source of this 185-nucleotide long non-coding RNA. RefSeq lists it as uncharacterized. The record is from RefSeq and is a predicted model, not a curated record. NCBI's taxonomy places the organism in Eukaryota, Metazoa, Chordata, Actinopteri, Perciformes, Bathydraconidae. The transcript is spliced from 3 exons.
UACAGCUUGAUGUCAAUGGGAGGAUAUCAUUAGCUCUUCACAAGUUGGGAUGGCCACUGCAUUUUCAGAACACCACAGAGAUGGUCAGGAGCAACAGGAGUCUGGCACAGGUUCUGGACAAGACCCAAAGUCCAAACACACAUCUAGCCUUUGUGAGCAAGAUGGCUCUCACGCGGUCAGAUUUU